GCCUAGGGGAGGCAGCAGUGGGGGAUAUUGCACAAUGGGGGGAACCCUGAUGCGGCGACGCCGCGUGGGUGAAGAGGCGCCUCGGCGCGUAAAGCCCUGUCCGCAGGGAAGAAAAUGACGGUACCUGAAGAAGAAGCCCCGGCUAACUACGUGCCAGCAGCCGCGGUAAUACGUAGGGGGCAAGCGUUAUCCGGAUUUACUGGGUGUAAAGGGGGCGCAGACGGCGAUGCAAGCCAGGAGUGAAAGCCCGGGGCCCAACCCCGGGACUGCUCUUGGAACUGCGUGGCGGGAGCGCAGGCAGGGCG
Molecule: ribosomal RNA, 305 nt
Filed under: uncultured bacterium
Lineage: Bacteria
Description: bacterial SSU rRNA
Rfam family: Bacterial small subunit ribosomal RNA
Source: RNAcentral